UCAAGGGGGCGUGGCCCAACGCGGAAGUGACGUCAAUGUAUACCUUCUAUUAGGAGAAAGAUACCGGUGAAAUCCCGAUGGGUUGAGAGCGGAUUUUAUGGAAUGACUUGGUUUCCCCACAGUGGACUUUGUCUUCCCUUAAGUGUUGUUAAGAUCGCAGCAAACUUUGCCUCCGACAACCAGAAACAUCCCAAGAAGCGAUCGGAAUAGUUAUGCAGCUUCAUCAAAAGCUGAAAUUGGUUCCACUGAUAACUGCUCGCAGCCAGGUUUGUGGAUUAUUUGGAGAGGAAUGAACACUAAUUCUGGAGGCGAAUGUUGCACGCGUCUUUCUCCUCUUUUUUAACGUCCGCACACAUCCGAGGAAACGGGUUGCAGCCUGCGGUGGAGCCUCCUUCGUUAUUCCGCGAGCAAAGCAGGGUUCAGCCCCGGACUAUCAUCAGCCGGUGUCAUGUGGGACGCACAUGAGCGUGAAUCCGGCAAAGAGAAAAUUACUGCGAUGCAUUCAGGUGUCCUCUCAGCCAUGCGUUCAGAGCGCUUCCAAGGGGCUCAGGGAGAGGCAAAGUGGAUGUGACAGGCUUAGAUUAAAUGCCAGAGACGGGGCGUUUCUCACACACACUACAGCCUCCUGGACAGCAGCCUAAUUAGGCACUUCCAUGCUCUGCCAUCAGCUCUUCCAGCAAAAAAUGCUCCUUCCAAAAACACAUUUGUUAAUGUAACAAAAUGUAACGCUGCAGUGGAUUGCUGGAGAGAUUUUCUGAAAACAGUCCAAUUAUCCCUUUGAAUUCCUUUACCGCAGAUUGAUUUCGCAGUUUUAAUAAAAAUUUACGGUGGCUGAACUGCGCUGUUGUUUGUAUUAUCUCGCUUCUCUCAUCCUCGCCCGCCUCUGGGGGAGAGAGGAGAUGCGAAGGAUCAGGUGGCCCCGCAAAUACCUGUAAGAUCAAAUGACGUUUUUUUUCUUUUUUUUUGUCGUUUUUUUGUUUUUUUUUGGGUUGCGGUUUUGUUUUUUUGCUAUCAGUUCCCGUAUUACCGUAAGAACAUGUCAGUCUGUAUCACCAAGAAGAAGGUCAGGUUUUUUUUUUUUCAUUCUUUUAGAGGCACAACAAAUACAGAUACCAUCUCCUCCUCCUCAGGUAAAACGUUCUUCUCGGAUAUUAUCACGUCAAGUAUAGGGCAGAAUUAUCCGCCGUGAUAUCUGCUCGUACGCCUCAGCGCAGACGUGCUGGACAGGGGAAUAAAUCUGAUUAUGGAGUGCGUGGGGUAAUGUUCAAUAAUAAAAAGUAUUAUUUGCCAAGAUCAAUGUGUGUCGCCAUAGCGAUAAAGUACAAUGAAUAGAAAGUGCUGGGAGCCUGCAGUAAAUUUUGAUGCGUUGUGAUAUUGAACACAUUGUGACAACAUACUGCUCGCCAGGGCUGUAAAACAUCUUCCAACAGGCUGUUGAACAUCCGCCCGCUACAUUCUUACACACCACGGCUGCCAUACA
Molecule: long non-coding RNA, 1480 nt
Organism: Mugil cephalus (flathead mullet)
Lineage: Eukaryota; Metazoa; Chordata; Actinopteri; Mugiliformes; Mugilidae
Exons: 4
Source: RefSeq, a predicted model, not a curated record